This 433-nucleotide ribosomal RNA is filed under the name uncultured bacterium. RNAcentral's name for it is "partial 16S ribosomal RNA". It matches the Rfam family "Bacterial small subunit ribosomal RNA", at positions 29 to 507 of the family's 1533-position model. The record is from RNAcentral.
AACGAACGCUGGCGGCAUGCCUAAUACAUGCAAGUCGAACGAGAUCUUCGGAUCUAGUGGCGCACGGGUGCGUAACGCGUGGGAAUCUGCCCUUGGGUUCGGAAUAACUUCUGGAAACGGAAGCUAAUACCGGAUGAUGACGUAAGUCCAAAGAUUUAUCGCCCAAGGAUGAGCCCGCGUAGGAUUAGCUAGUUGGUGGGGUAAAGGCCCACCAAGGCGACGAUCCUUAGCUGGUUUGAGAGGAUGAUCAGCCACACUGGGACUGAGACACGGCCCAGACUCCUGCGGGAGGCAGCAGUAGGGAAUAUUGGACAAUGGGCGAAAGGCUGAUCCAGCAAUGCCGCGUGAGUGAUGAAGGCCUUAGGGUUGUAAAGCUCGUUUACCCGGGAUGAUAAUGACAGUACCGGGAGAAUAAGCUCCGGCUAACUCCGUG